UGGGGAAUAUUGCACAAUGGAGGGAACUCUGAUGCAGCGACGCCGCGUGAGUGAUGAAGGAAUUCGUUUCGUAAAACUCUGUUCUAUGGGAAGAAAAGGACUGUACCAUAGGAGAAAGCUCCGGCUAAAUACGUGCCAGCAGCCGCGGUAAUACGUAUGGAGCGAGCGUUGUCCGGAAUUAUUGGGCGUAAAGGGUGCGCAGGCGGCUUUACAAGUUGGAUGUGAAAUAUUGUGGCUCAACCACAAACGUGCAUCCAAAACUGCAAAGCUUGAGUUAAGGAGAGGUAAGUGGAAGUCCUGGUGUAGCGGUGGAAUGCGUAGAUAUCAGGAGGAAUACCGGUGGCGAAGGCGACUUACUGGACUUAAACUGACGCUCAGGCACGAAAGCGUGGGGAGCAAACAGG
This 404-nucleotide ribosomal RNA is filed under the name Fusobacteriota bacterium. RNAcentral's name for it is "Fusobacteria bacterium partial 16S ribosomal RNA". It matches the Rfam family "Bacterial small subunit ribosomal RNA", at positions 355 to 776 of the family's 1533-position model. The record is from RNAcentral. Lineage: Bacteria; Fusobacteriati; Fusobacteriota.